CACGAACCGGGCAAACGUUAUUCGGAAUUACUGGGCUUAAAGGGUGCGUAGGCGGCGCUGUAAGUCGGGUGUGAAAUCCCUCGGCCUAACCGAGGAAUUGCGCCCGAUACUGCAGUGCUCGAGGAAGAUAGAGGUGGGCGGAACUAGCGGUGGAGCGGUGAAAUGCGUUGAUAUCGCUGGGAACACCCGUGGCGAAAGCGGCCCACUGGGUCUUUUCUGACGCUGAUGCACGAAAGCUAGGGUAGCGAACGGG
RNAcentral lists this ribosomal RNA (253 nucleotides) under uncultured bacterium. Its description in RNAcentral is "partial 16S ribosomal RNA". It matches the Rfam family "Bacterial small subunit ribosomal RNA", at positions 524 to 776 of the family's 1533-position model. The record is from RNAcentral.